Long non-coding RNA from Dufourea novaeangliae, 303 nucleotides. RefSeq lists it as uncharacterized. NCBI's taxonomy places the organism in Eukaryota, Metazoa, Arthropoda, Insecta, Hymenoptera, Halictidae. The record is from RefSeq and is a predicted model, not a curated record. The transcript has 3 exons.
GUGAGCUUUUACGCGGACAAACGGCUGUUCGACGGAGAAAUUGAACGUUUUCAACGGCACCUACCCCGAUGGAAAUCCUGCGACGGAUGGAAGACUGACUGUAGGGAGCAGUAAAGGAUCUGGUGGAUCAGAGGAUUUCAUGGGGAUCUGAGCUGUGGACUCUGGCUGCCUACAGAGGAUCUGUUGACGUCAUCUGCACGCGAAGCUCCGGACCAACAAAAUGGACACAUACAUUGUGGUUAUAACAGUUAGGGUCUCCGGCUGACCCACAUCACUCGCCAUCUUUACGACACAUCCCCGCCA